This 2904-nucleotide ribosomal RNA is filed under the name Escherichia coli. RNAcentral describes it as "23S ribosomal RNA". It matches the Rfam family "Bacterial large subunit ribosomal RNA". Lineage: Bacteria; Pseudomonadati; Pseudomonadota; Gammaproteobacteria; Enterobacterales; Enterobacteriaceae. The record is from RNAcentral.
GGUUAAGCGACUAAGCGUACACGGUGGAUGCCCUGGCAGUCAGAGGCGAUGAAGGACGUGCUAAUCUGCGAUAAGCGUCGGUAAGGUGAUAUGAACCGUUAUAACCGGCGAUUUCCGAAUGGGGAAACCCAGUGUGUUUCGACACACUAUCAUUAACUGAAUCCAUAGGUUAAUGAGGCGAACCGGGGGAACUGAAACAUCUAAGUACCCCGAGGAAAAGAAAUCAACCGAGAUUCCCCCAGUAGCGGCGAGCGAACGGGGAGCAGCCCAGAGCCUGAAUCAGUGUGUGUGUUAGUGGAAGCGUCUGGAAAGGCGCGCGAUACAGGGUGACAGCCCCGUACACAAAAAUGCACAUGCUGUGAGCUCGAUGAGUAGGGCGGGACACGUGGUAUCCUGUCUGAAUAUGGGGGGACCAUCCUCCAAGGCUAAAUACUCCUGACUGACCGAUAGUGAACCAGUACCGUGAGGGAAAGGCGAAAAGAACCCCGGCGAGGGGAGUGAAAAAGAACCUGAAACCGUGUACGUACAAGCAGUGGGAGCACGCUUAGGCGUGUGACUGCGUACCUUUUGUAUAAUGGGUCAGCGACUUAUAUUCUGUAGCAAGGUUAACCGAAUAGGGGAGCCGAAGGGAAACCGAGUCUUAACUGGGCGUUAAGUUGCAGGGUAUAGACCCGAAACCCGGUGAUCUAGCCAUGGGCAGGUUGAAGGUUGGGUAACACUAACUGGAGGACCGAACCGACUAAUGUUGAAAAAUUAGCGGAUGACUUGUGGCUGGGGGUGAAAGGCCAAUCAAACCGGGAGAUAGCUGGUUCUCCCCGAAAGCUAUUUAGGUAGCGCCUCGUGAAUUCAUCUCCGGGGGUAGAGCACUGUUUCGGCAAGGGGGUCAUCCCGACUUACCAACCCGAUGCAAACUGCGAAUACCGGAGAAUGUUAUCACGGGAGACACACGGCGGGUGCUAACGUCCGUCGUGAAGAGGGAAACAACCCAGACCGCCAGCUAAGGUCCCAAAGUCAUGGUUAAGUGGGAAACGAUGUGGGAAGGCCCAGACAGCCAGGAUGUUGGCUUAGAAGCAGCCAUCAUUUAAAGAAAGCGUAAUAGCUCACUGGUCGAGUCGGCCUGCGCGGAAGAUGUAACGGGGCUAAACCAUGCACCGAAGCUGCGGCAGCGACGCUUAUGCGUUGUUGGGUAGGGGAGCGUUCUGUAAGCCUGCGAAGGUGUGCUGUGAGGCAUGCUGGAGGUAUCAGAAGUGCGAAUGCUGACAUAAGUAACGAUAAAGCGGGUGAAAAGCCCGCUCGCCGGAAGACCAAGGGUUCCUGUCCAACGUUAAUCGGGGCAGGGUGAGUCGACCCCUAAGGCGAGGCCGAAAGGCGUAGUCGAUGGGAAACAGGUUAAUAUUCCUGUACUUGGUGUUACUGCGAAGGGGGGACGGAGAAGGCUAUGUUGGCCGGGCGACGGUUGUCCCGGUUUAAGCGUGUAGGCUGGUUUUCCAGGCAAAUCCGGAAAAUCAAGGCUGAGGCGUGAUGACGAGGCACUACGGUGCUGAAGCAACAAAUGCCCUGCUUCCAGGAAAAGCCUCUAAGCAUCAGGUAACAUCAAAUCGUACCCCAAACCGACACAGGUGGUCAGGUAGAGAAUACCAAGGCGCUUGAGAGAACUCGGGUGAAGGAACUAGGCAAAAUGGUGCCGUAACUUCGGGAGAAGGCACGCUGAUAUGUAGGUGAGGUCCCUCGCGGAUGGAGCUGAAAUCAGUCGAAGAUACCAGCUGGCUGCAACUGUUUAUUAAAAACACAGCACUGUGCAAACACGAAAGUGGACGUAUACGGUGUGACGCCUGCCCGGUGCCGGAAGGUUAAUUGAUGGGGUCAGCGCAAGCGAAGCUCUUGAUCGAAGCCCCGGUAAACGGCGGCCGUAACUAUAACGGUCCUAAGGUAGCGAAAUUCCUUGUCGGGUAAGUUCCGACCUGCACGAAUGGCGUAAUGAUGGCCAGGCUGUCUCCACCCGAGACUCAGUGAAAUUGAACUCGCUGUGAAGAUGCAGUGUACCCGCGGCAAGACGGAAAGACCCCGUGAACCUUUACUAUAGCUUGACACUGAACAUUGAGCCUUGAUGUGUAGGAUAGGUGGGAGGCUUUGAAGUGUGGACGCCAGUCUGCAUGGAGCCGACCUUGAAAUACCACCCUUUAAUGUUUGAUGUUCUAACGUUGACCCGUAAUCCGGGUUGCGGACAGUGUCUGGUGGGUAGUUUGACUGGGGCGGUCUCCUCCUAAAGAGUAACGGAGGAGCACGAAGGUUGGCUAAUCCUGGUCGGACAUCAGGAGGUUAGUGCAAUGGCAUAAGCCAGCUUGACUGCGAGCGUGACGGCGCGAGCAGGUGCGAAAGCAGGUCAUAGUGAUCCGGUGGUUCUGAAUGGAAGGGCCAUCGCUCAACGGAUAAAAGGUACUCCGGGGAUAACAGGCUGAUACCGCCCAAGAGUUCAUAUCGACGGCGGUGUUUGGCACCUCGAUGUCGGCUCAUCACAUCCUGGGGCUGAAGUAGGUCCCAAGGGUAUGGCUGUUCGCCAUUUAAAGUGGUACGCGAGCUGGGUUUAGAACGUCGUGAGACAGUUCGGUCCCUAUCUGCCGUGGGCGCUGGAGAACUGAGGGGGGCUGCUCCUAGUACGAGAGGACCGGAGUGGACGCAUCACUGGUGUUCGGGUUGUCAUGCCAAUGGCACUGCCCGGUAGCUAAAUGCGGAAGAGAUAAGUGCUGAAAGCAUCUAAGCACGAAACUUGCCCCGAGAUGAGUUCUCCCUGACUCCUUGAGAGUCCUGAAGGAACGUUGAAGACGACGACGUUGAUAGGCCGGGUGUGUAAGCGCAGCGAUGCGUUGAGCUAACCGGUACUAAUGAACCGUGAGGCUUAACCUU